Molecule: ribosomal RNA, 253 nt
Filed under: uncultured bacterium
Lineage: Bacteria
Description: partial 16S ribosomal RNA
Rfam family: Bacterial small subunit ribosomal RNA
Source: RNAcentral
UACAGAGGUCCCGAGCGUUGUUCGGAUUCACUGGGCGUAAAGGGUGCGUAGGUGGGCAGGUAAGUCAGUGGUGAAAUCUCCGGGCUUAACUCGGAAACUGCCAUUGAUACUAUCUUUCUUGAAUACCGUGGAGGUCAGCGGAAUAUGUCAUGUAGCGGUGAAAUGCUUAGAUAUGACAUAGAACACCAAUUGCGAAGGCAGCUGGCUACACGAAUAUUGACACUGAUGCACGAAAGCGUGGGGAUCAAACAGG